GGGCAGGAGAGGUCACGAGGAGAUGUCACAGGUCACGGAGAGCCGCCAAUCACGCUUUAGCCUCAACAUUUUGACAUGCGCCCAAUGAUUGCCACAGAGAGAGAGAGAGAGUCAUGUGACCCGGCAGAAAACUCCAAUUAGAGCGCGGAGGUUACAAGUUCUUGGAAACCGAAGGGAUGUGAGUCACAGUGUGAAGUGCAAAACCUUGGAAAAUGCUUUUAAUCACCGAUUUGAAGCUCCUGACUUUUUCGGCAACUGCUGCCAAACCCAUGUGACCUGAAGUACCUUAAAGUGUUUUAAGGCUUGAAUUCUUACUGCCACAUGUGAAGGACGAUAUGAGACACUGCGCUUCUGUCCGAGAGAAAGCAUGUGUUGAGCGAUGGAGAGCUGAGAUUCGGAGGAGAGAGCGGGUCACCUGGAGUCCAGAGACUAUAAAUGAGGUUUACACGAGUCCUGUGAAAGAGGUAUUCAUUAACCGUGAUGUUUGCAUGGUGACUAAAGCUGAAGGAAUCUGUCAAUUCAACUCCACUUGAGCUCAGUGAAAGCUUUAAUGGUUUGCAUGAUGAUUUAAACCUGUGUUGAUGCUCCUGGCGUCCUUCAUACGGAUUAUUCUGAUGUAAUGCAAUCAAACUUAAUGAAUAAUUCACUCCAAAAUCAAACUUUUGUAAUUAUUUACUUGUCCUCGUGUCAUUGCGUGGAAAAGAAUUGCUUCAAAACUUCAGGUUCAGUGCAUUUACACCACAAUGAUGUGCUACAAACAGAAAGUUUUUCCUAAAACGUUGUCAAAAUUAUUAAUGUUUGCAUGGAUCAGUGAAAAACAACUUUAAAAAACGCUUUAUAAUGCAUUGUCAGGAGUCAUUUUAUAAAGACACACAUAACACAGAUGAUUAAUUGAGAUUUCGUAGUUUACAUUAAGAAAAUAAGGGUGUUGUUUUCACAAACUUGCACAAUGAAAUGAUGAUGUUUUCAAAAGUUUGCAUAUUCAGAACAAAUGAAUAAAAAGUUUUCCAUCUUUAAUUGAAAUUUCGAUUUUUUUUUCUUUCGUUUUUUUCUGCUGACGUUCACUAAAUUAAAGGGUUAAUUGAUUUGGCUUGGGUUAAUUAGUGAAAACAGGUGAUGCUGGUUAAUGAGAGCCUUUAAAAACCCUUUGUUCGAAACACUUUGGUAAAGAAAUAAGCAAGAGAGAACGAGUGUGAAAACUGAAAACUGUGUUUAAUGUUGAAGGAAGGAGUGUGAAAAUUGAGAGAUUGUGUUAGUGAGGGAGACUUUAUUUUCUUUGAAGACAAAGACAUAGAAAGCUGUCCUUUUUUUUAGGAUUCAGUUGACAAAGACAAAUAUUAGUUGAGCUUCAAAAUCUUUAGUUUUGGGACUCAUAACUGCAUUUAAUGCAUGUGCAAUAUGUGGUGAAACACUAGAAUUGAACCAAACCCUUUUAAAACCUGAACUAGAUGUGUGCACAAAAUCACAUUUUUGAGAAAUGGCUUAUACCUCAAUG
This is a long non-coding RNA of Carassius gibelio (silver crucian carp), 1495 nucleotides long. RefSeq lists it as uncharacterized. The record is from RefSeq and is a predicted model, not a curated record. The transcript has 3 exons. Lineage: Eukaryota; Metazoa; Chordata; Actinopteri; Cypriniformes; Cyprinidae.